RNAcentral lists this ribosomal RNA (225 nucleotides) under uncultured Brucella sp. RNAcentral's name for it is "partial 16S ribosomal RNA". It matches the Rfam family "Bacterial small subunit ribosomal RNA", at positions 568 to 792 of the family's 1533-position model. The record is from RNAcentral. Lineage: Bacteria; Pseudomonadati; Pseudomonadota; Alphaproteobacteria; Hyphomicrobiales; Brucellaceae.
CACGUAGGCGGACUUUUAAGUCAGGGGUGAAAUCCCGGGGCUCAACCCCGGAACUGCCUUUGAUACUGGAAGUCUUGAGUAUGGUAGAGGUGAGUGGAAUUCCGAGUGUAGAGGUGAAAUUCGUAGAUAUUCGGAGGAACACCAGUGGCGAAGGCGGCUCACUGGACAGUGACUGACGCUCAUAUGCGAAAGCGUGGGGAUCAAACAGGAUUAGAUACCCCUGUA